This 361-nucleotide long non-coding RNA is filed under the name Capsella rubella. RNAcentral's name for it is "long non-coding RNA (CRUB_LNC003708)". Lineage: Eukaryota; Viridiplantae; Streptophyta; Magnoliopsida; Brassicales; Brassicaceae. The record is from RNAcentral.
AGAUUUGUAACUUGUGAUCAUGAUGAUGUAUAUAUGAAGAGAAAAAUAAAAUUCCAAUAUUUUUGGGGAUCAAUAUAUAUUACGUGUUCAGGGAAUGUCAACUUUGCAUUGAUUCUCAUCGAUCAUCACUUGUGUGAUCAAUGAUGAACUAGACAGAAACUCAAAUUCAAAGUAAGAUAAUAUAGGUUGCUUCCUUUUUUUUUUGUUAAGUAACUAUGAAAGAUUAAAGUUUGCGUUCGCACUCCAUGCACGUUAUCAUUUAGGUUCAUCUUGUUUGUGUUUUUAUUUUAUUUUAAGUUUUGCAAUCGCAUGUUGGGAUUACUAUAACAAAACAGUUCAUAUAUUCUUAAUAAGACGAUGG